AGUGAACGCUGGCGGUAGGCCUAACACAUGCAAGUCGAACGGCAGCACAGUAAGAGCUUGCUCUUACGGGUGGCGAGUGGCGGACGGGUGAGGAAUACAUCGGAAUCUACUUUUUCGUGGGGGAUAACGUAGGGAAACUUGCGCUAAUACCGCAUACGACCUACGGGUGAAAGCAGGGGAUCUUCGGACCUUGCGCGAUUGAAUGAGCCGAUGUCGGAUUAGCUAGUUGGCGGGGUAAAGGCCCACCAAGGCGACGAUCCGUAGCUGGUCUGAGAGGAUGAUCAGCCACACUGGAACUGAGACACGGUCCAGACUCCUACGGGAGGCAGCAGUGGGGAAUAUUGGACAAUGGGCGCAAGCCUGAUCCAGCCAUACCGCGUGGGUGAAGAAGGCCUUCGGGUUGUAAAGCCCUUUUGUUGGGAAAGAGAAGCAGCAGGUUAAUACCCCGCUGUUCUGACGGUACCCAAAGAAUAAGCACCGGCUAACUUCGUG
RNAcentral lists this ribosomal RNA (492 nucleotides) under uncultured bacterium. RNAcentral describes it as "partial 16S ribosomal RNA". It matches the Rfam family "Bacterial small subunit ribosomal RNA", at positions 29 to 507 of the family's 1533-position model. The record is from RNAcentral.